GGGCCCAUAGUUCAACGGUAAAACGCUGCAUUCGCAUUGCAGAGGUCCGGGUUCAAUUCCCGGUGGGUCCA
This 71-nucleotide transfer RNA is filed under the name Anaplasmataceae bacterium. It matches the Rfam family "tRNA". From Rfam's summary of the family: Transfer RNA (tRNA) molecules are approximately 80 nucleotides in length. Their secondary structure includes four short double-helical elements and three loops (D, anti-codon, and T loops). The record is from Rfam by way of RNAcentral. Lineage: Bacteria; Pseudomonadati; Pseudomonadota; Alphaproteobacteria; Rickettsiales; Anaplasmataceae.